UCCGGCUUAUCACCGGCGGUUUCUUUAGAGUGCCCAACUAAAUGAUGGCAACUAAAGACGAGGGUUGCGCUCGUUGCGGGACUUAACCCAACAUCUCACGACACGAGCUGACGACAGCCAUGCAGCACCUGUGUUCAGAUUCUCUUUCGAGCACCCUCGAAUCUCUCCAAGGUUUCUGACAUGUCAAGGGUAGGUAAGGUUUUUCGCGUUGCAUCGAAUUAAUCCACAUCAUCCACCGCUUGCGCGGGUCCCCGUCAAUUCCUUUGAGUUUUAAUCUUGCGACCGUACUCCCCAGGCGGUCUACUUCACGCGUUAGCUGCGUUACCAAGUCAAUUAAGACCCGACAACUAGUAGACAUCGUUUAGGGCGUGGACUAC
This 377-nucleotide unclassified non-coding RNA is filed under the name uncultured Gammaproteobacteria bacterium. RNAcentral's name for it is "contains 16S-23S intergenic spacer region". Lineage: Bacteria; Pseudomonadati; Pseudomonadota; Gammaproteobacteria. The record is from RNAcentral.